AUUGAACGCUGGCGGAAUGCUUUACACAUGCAAGUCGAACGGCAGCACGGGGCAACCUGGUGGCGAGUGGCGAACGGGUGAGUAAUGCAUCGGAACGUGCCCUGAAGUGGGGGGAUAACGUAGCGAAAGUUACGCUAAUACCGCAUAUUCUGUGAGCAGGAAAGCAGGGGAUCUUCGGACCUUGCGCUUUUGGAGCGGCCGAUGUCGGAUUAGCUAGUUGGUGGGGUAAAGGCCCACCAAGGCGACGAUCCGUAGCGGGUCUGAGAGGAUGAUCCGCCACACUGGAACUGAGACACGGUCCAGACUCCUACGGGAGGCAGCAGUGGGGAAUUUUGGACAAUGGGGGGCAACCCUGAUCCAGCCAUGCCGCGUGAGUGAAGAAGGCC
RNAcentral lists this ribosomal RNA (386 nucleotides) under uncultured bacterium. RNAcentral describes it as "bacterial SSU rRNA". It matches the Rfam family "Bacterial small subunit ribosomal RNA", at positions 30 to 416 of the family's 1533-position model. The record is from RNAcentral.